GGGUGCUGUGGCUCAGUUGGUUAAAGUGCCUGUCUAUUAACCAGGAGAUCCUGAGUUUGAAUCUGCAUGUUCU
RNAcentral lists this transfer RNA (73 nucleotides) under Pelobates cultripes (western spadefoot toad). RNAcentral describes it as "tRNA.Asn". Lineage: Eukaryota; Metazoa; Chordata; Amphibia; Anura; Pelobatidae. The record is from RNAcentral.